GAUGAACGCUGGCGGCGUGCCUAAUACAUGCAAGUCGAGCGAACAGAUAAGGAGCUUGCUCCUUUGACGUUAGCGGCGGACGGGUGAGUAACACGUGGGUAACCUACCUAUAAGACUGGGAUAACUUCGGGAAACCGGAGCUAAUACCGGAUAACAUUUGGAACCGCAUGGUUCUAAGUGAAAGAUGGUUUUGCUAUCACUUAUAGAUGGGCCCGCGCCGUAUUAGCUAGUUGGUAAGGUAACGGCUUACCAAGGCGACGAUACGUAGCCGACCUGAGAGGGUGAUCGGCCACACUGGAACUGAGACACGGUCCAGACUCCUACGGGAGGCAGCAGUAGGGAAUCUUCCGCAAUGGGCGAAAGCCUGACGGAGCAACGCCGCGUGAGUGAUGAAGGGUUUCGGCUCGUAAAACUCUGUUAUUAGGGAAGAACAAAUGUGUAAGUAACUGUGCACGUCUUGACGGUACCUAAUCAGAAAGCCACGGCUAACUACGUG
This 496-nucleotide ribosomal RNA is filed under the name uncultured bacterium. RNAcentral describes it as "partial 16S ribosomal RNA". It matches the Rfam family "Bacterial small subunit ribosomal RNA", at positions 28 to 507 of the family's 1533-position model. The record is from RNAcentral.